CUCUUACGCACGGGACCACAAUGCCCCGCGCCGCUUGUCAUUUGGAGGCGCCUGGAGGUGGGGGUCUGCUCUGAAGGAAAAGAAUUCAGCCAGAGGUACAUGAACCACAGAUGUUCAUCACCCCUCCAAGACCAAGUUCAUUUUCAGCAGCCCAGAUGAGACCACCAUAAAUGAAGAUCAGAGGAGAAGCACGUAAAGAAGAAAGAAGUUUCGGUAUCAAGAGAUCUCCAUAAAAACCAUGGAGUUAAUUGAUUUACGUUGCCCCUUCUGGCACCAGUCAGUAGGCCUACUCGGCUCCGUCUAGGUCCACUGGAGCUGCC
Molecule: long non-coding RNA, 320 nt
Organism: Puma concolor (puma)
Lineage: Eukaryota; Metazoa; Chordata; Mammalia; Carnivora; Felidae
Source: RefSeq, a predicted model, not a curated record